CUGGCCAUAUCAGGUUGAAACAUCUGUUCCUGUAUGAUCACCGAAGUUAAGCAACGUCGAGUCUGCUCAGUACCUAUCUGGGUGAUCGCCUGGGAAUAACAGGUGAUGUAAGC
Non-coding RNA from Acanthosepion pharaonis, 113 nucleotides. The record is from the annotation of a GenBank genome assembly. NCBI's taxonomy places the organism in Eukaryota, Metazoa, Mollusca, Cephalopoda, Sepiida, Sepiidae.